GGGCCUAUAAGCUAAUGGACAGACUAUCUGGCUUCGGACCAGAAUAUCGGGGUUCGAAUCCCUGUAGGCCCG
RNAcentral lists this transfer RNA (72 nucleotides) under Candidatus Woesearchaeota archaeon. RNAcentral describes it as "tRNA-Arg". It matches the Rfam family "tRNA". Rfam says of the family: Transfer RNA (tRNA) molecules are approximately 80 nucleotides in length. Lineage: Archaea; Nanobdellati; Candidatus Woesearchaeota. The record is from RNAcentral.